Haliotis rubra (blacklip abalone) is the source of this 306-nucleotide long non-coding RNA. RefSeq lists it as uncharacterized. The transcript is spliced from 3 exons. The record is from RefSeq and is a predicted model, not a curated record. Lineage: Eukaryota; Metazoa; Mollusca; Gastropoda; Lepetellida; Haliotidae.
UGACUGCAGCCCGAUGGCGCUUGCCAUUGUUAGCGAAGGGGCUCCAGGUUGUCCGCGAUCAAGUGUAGUGCGACUUGCGACACCGACGUGAGAGUCUUAUGAGCAAGGCGUGUGCAGCUACGAGCGGAAUCAAUUUCAUGGUCAUGCAAUACACGUACACUAGCCGACAUCUGCUCAACCUUUCACAAACCAAAUGGGUUUGCUCACUGCCGUGCACCACCUACUUCUCGUAAAAACGUUCUCUGCGCCAGUCCAACUUAUUCUUGUUUACCAGCAGAUUGGUUGGUUUGUUGUUUAACGCCACAC